UAAAAGAUAGACUAUAAAAGUCAACGAAAUGAUACUUCGAGAAUGAGAUACUAUAUUUCUCUCUUUUUA
Molecule: transfer RNA, 69 nt
Filed under: Kiwa tyleri
Lineage: Eukaryota; Metazoa; Arthropoda; Malacostraca; Decapoda; Kiwaidae
Description: tRNA-Ile
Source: RNAcentral